Molecule: long non-coding RNA, 376 nt
Filed under: Mytilus galloprovincialis (Mediterranean mussel)
Lineage: Eukaryota; Metazoa; Mollusca; Bivalvia; Mytilida; Mytilidae
Source: RNAcentral
CAGCUGGGGUAGGGGUGUAAUCUUUCAGGUUUUUUUUGUAAGAAAUAAGUGUAGACUAGUAUUCUUUAUUGUAAUAUGUUUCAUAGUAAGAAGUCUAUGCAUCAUAGGUAUCAUGACUGAUUUCAAGUUUGUAAUGUCUUGGUUAAGGUGGCACGGUAGUAUUUGCAUUCCAGAAUUUGGGUUGCUCUUUUGUGUACCCUACCUAAGUCAAUGUAUCUGAACAGUGUGAUUGGACAAAAAAUACAGUAUCAACUGAACACACUUUCUCAAACUGAGGGAUGAAUCAGGUGUAGAAAAAUAUGAAAUAAUUUUACAACCAGAUGAAAAUGAAUUUUUGAGAAUUUUUUUAAAAUGUGUAUUCACUGCAUGAUAAAAG